GAAGAGAACCCAAACACACAUUUUUGAAUGAGUAAGCUUUAAAGCUGUGCUGCGUCUGCUCGCAAACUCAUCGCAGCUUUGAAAGUGAAAAAACAACAUUUGGUUCCGAGUGCAAAUUCGCCUGCAUUUGCACCCUACCUCUUCCAUGUGCUCCGCAAUCUACUCACUUUUAAUAAUAAGCGGGGAAGUUGGAACAUAAUCCACCCAUAAAUGUUAUUACUGUAAUUUGACUGCUCUGUGUUUGUUCAUGCAUUAGCUGUAUAUGUGAGGCGAAGUGGUGAUGUAUGGUGGGGAUCCCUCGUGCGGCGUGAACAAACAGGAGGUGUUUUGGGUUUCAACGCCCAGACGCUGUGCAGUUGUUUUGAGUUUUGGGGUGUCUGGCUUCAGACCUGCCCUAACUGAACGGUGCCUGCAAGAGGUGCAUCAGGAGGGGUAUAUGAUGAGAAUUCUACGCAGGAGGUGUUUGGUGGAUGGCGAUUCUGUCUCCACACUCUGUCCGUGAGCUUUAUUAUUCUGCUUUUAUGUAUUAAGAUCUUGGUUGCUCUUGCCCUGGCAGAUUCUGUCUCUUUAAGUAACUAAAUCUCAUUUUUAAGCUCUUCCUGGGAAAAGGGUGUUACACAUGAGUAGAAAAAUGCAGGCAAGAAAGGCUAAUUGAAUGAAAAGGGAGAAUUAGGUUAAAAAUAGAGUACAAUCUAGUAUCACAUUUUCACUAGUGUAACCUGAAAUGAAGGUGUCUCCAAGUCCCCAGUGAUGCCAGAGUGUUUAGAUGUUGGGCACAGAUGGAGACACCUAUUGAAAUGUGUCUGAAGAAGAUUAAUAGGACUUGUCAGUGUUGGGAAAGCACUGCUUUGCUGUAAAUUUCUACUAGCACAAGAUGAAUUACCGAUGAAUGCUCAGUUAUCAACCCCAUCACUAUCAUUGGACACUAAAUCAAAUUGAGCAGUUAUCUACAAUCAGAAAAUUUCUUUUAAAAAUAGGCAUACACCUUUAGGCUUAAACUCUUUAAUAAGACAAUAUCCUCGAUGGUAUGUGUGUGUUCACGAAGGGAUAUGAUUUAAAGUAUCUGUACAAAAAGCUUCUGUUCGGAAACGAACUCCAAGUUCAGUGUGAAAUCAGGGUUGUCAAACAAUAGAAGAUAUUCAGAAAAUACUGGUUAUAUAACACAGUGUUCUGCUGGGGGCCUGAUCCAAAAUGGAUUUUCAUGCAUGCCAUUAGAUUUUGGAUCCAUCCCUAUUUAUGAGAGGUUUUCUAAAUCUCUUCUCUCCCCUUAUUUAUGGUGAUGAUAAAACCCCACUUCUUUCUACCUUAAAGACUGAGCAUCCAAAUCAUAUGUUAAUGCAAAAUAGCUAUCAAGACUCAGGAUAUAUGUAUAACAAUAACACCACCCCCCAACAUAUUUAGGAAAUUACAGCUUAAUAUAAUGAACUAGGUGAUGAAAGAAUCAAUGAAUAAUAUUUUAACCGAGAAUAUUUCUUUCUCUCCUUUAUAAAGGGGGAAACUGCCGCAAGGAAAGGUAACACAAGCAUUUACCAGCCCACUGCUGAAGCAUAUUACCUGCAUUUACCAUCUGAUGCUGCUGAUGGCGAUGAUAUUAAAUAAGCAUUAUAUACUUCUGGUUUCUAGUAUUUGUUUCCCUCUCACCCAGGCAGUGCACUACUUUAUCCAAGGGGUUUUAUCAUGGCGUGUUUUCCAAAGUCAAUUUUUCCCUUUUAUUAGAGACAAGGGCAGUCAUUUGUGUUUAAGGAGGGAGACAGGUACAGAGACUUUAUCUGAUCUGCGUCCCCAGCCACCACUACCUUCUUAAUCGACGUCAAAUUCCCACUCUGCAGGAUCAGGCCCUAUCUGGGUUACUCCUUAGCCAAGAAAGGUAUCCUUCCCUUCCACUCCAGACAUCUCACCUGUGAUGUAUGCUACUUUUUGAGGAAGGAAUGAUGUGCUGUUCACCACAAAGCCUUUUACGCGUUUCUCAUCUCCAGCCAAAGCUUAUUAUUUACCCCCUUAAAAAUUCACCAGGAUAAGGGAUAGCAGCAGUUGUUUUCUUCAUUUUUACACCCUAAUUUUCACGCAGCAAAUGCCCUGCAUUAGGACCAGAUUCCACUCAGAUGGAAGUUAUUAACUUUAAGCAGGAUGGGCCGAUUCCAUCCAGCCACAGCCCGUGCCCUUCGAACGCAGUCGCUUUACAGCAUCACCAUGUUUAUUUUUUUUCUUUGGAGGGCAUGAUUCUUUAAACAUAUUUGUUUUACACAGAGCAGCAGUUGAAUCCUAACUUCUUUUUUUCCCCACAAACAUGUAAAGAGAAUAUUAAUAGGGAAUAUUAACAGAGGUGAGUGCAGCAUGAUGCUAGUUAGAUUGUAGUAGCUGAGAAAUAUGAACUAGUGAACAUAAUCCAUAAACUCCAUUUGGUUACUAUAAUACUCCAAUCUGUAUUUAUUACAACCCCACUCUGAUGCUUAUACAACUGCAAUUGCUAGAUUUAUACACUCUAAUGGUUUCACAAUAGGAAAAACCUGUGUUCUUUAUCUUUCUUUUCCUGUCCAAAAUAACCCCUUCCACAUAUACUUCAGGCUUCUCUGGACCUUGUCUGGGUUUAAUCACAGGCUCUGGGACAAAAUGUGCAUUAUUAAGAAAUAUAAAUAUUUUCAGAAGCAAUCAAAGGGUUGAAAGAUUGAUUCGGCAUGUAGAUUGGAUUUAAUUCGAAGCAGCUUUGUUCUAAUGAGGACUACUGGGAUACAAAGACGGCAGCCGCUUAUGGCCACCAGUUGGGAACCUCGACUUGCUGCAGCAACCUGUCAAGAAUUCCAAGGAACUGCCAGGUAAUUAAACAGUGAAGUUGUGGGGAGGACGCUGGUCUAUUGUUUGCAGCCUCCUCCCGAGGCUGGAUUAGGAUUUCUUGAGCCCCUGUUUUACCAAAAUGAGAUUCUUGCUGCUUGCGGGGCCAAACCCCGCAGUCCCUCACUCAGGGAAAACCCCAAUGGGCAUUGUGGGUGGGUUUACCUAAGGGAAAGGUGGUAAAGCUUUGCUGAGCCUCAAGUCCAGCAAAUUUGGGAGCCCUGUAGCUAUUUGUUCCGAUUCCAGACCUGGUUGUUUUUGCGGUGACUUGUUCUAUUAAAUUUUGCUAUCUGUGCUUCUAGAUGUGAUGGGACUUUUUUGCACAGGGAGGUGUUUUUCCCUAUGGAGAAAUACAGCUCUGGGAUGGCUUGGAAGCUCUUGUGUCCUUGUUGGGUGACCCAGAAGAACUGGCGGACCCGGACUGUCUCCUGCCUGCAGUGUCCAACAAAACAUCCUUGAGAUGAUGCUGAACCAAAGGGGACCUUUGAUUGCUUUCCCCUCAGACCGAAAAGACACCCAAAGGAAUUUGGAAGAUGCCCAUGUCUAAGACAAUGGUGAGGACUGGGCCAAAAUACAGAUCCAGCCUUGAUUCCUCCAUUGGAUCCAGCCUGUCUUGACCUACAGCUGCUGAUGGAUCGCAGUGAUCUGGACCCUUCUCUCUCCUUACUCCCCAGCAUCAGGACACCAAGAGGACCUGAGAGUACUGGAUGAACCAUUACAAGACCGUGAUUGGAAAGUGUGGGGACCAAGCACACAGAGAGGUGGCUGAAGCAGCUGGUUCCCUGUCUGUUGUUGAGUCAUGGCACAAGAUACCAGAGGCCAGAGAAACAUCAUGUGGACUGUGUCUGUCUUGGCUACUCCUCAUCAGUGCUUUGAGCUGCAGGAAGUCAUGAGAACCAAGGCAACAUGAAUGUAUCACCAGGGAUUUGCUUCUCUCCUGGUCUCCUCCUGAAGCACAGCACAAAGUUUCAACCUUUGCUUCUGCAGACCUACAUGGAUGGGCUGAUAAACUGCCGUUUAGUCCAGAGGCUGGACAGAAAUAAAUCACCAGUUAAAAUACAGUAUUCCUAGUGAAAACCAUUAUGGAAUGCAUUCUUGCCCCAAACUCCUCCUGGAAUAGGCACAGCAAUGCUCCCUGAGACCUGGCAGCCCUUCUAAGUGAGCAUAUGGUCUGCUCAGCUCCUGCAGUACCGGUGCACGGCUUGGCAUUUGCCUGUACGCACGCAGGCACAUUGCUCGGGGAUGACAGGAAAACAUGAUUACAGCUUGCAAAUAAUACAAAUAGGAGAAAAGGGAAAGCGAGAGGAGCUGCCAUGCAGCAGCAGCGUGGUUCCUGAUGCCAAAGGUCUGACCUUAAAAUGAGCAGUGCAUAGGGCAAGAAUGGGUACUGCAGAGAGCUUCUGGCCUUCAACCCUUCCAAAUGCAGCUAUUUUGGUAACCAGAACAGUGUAUUCAUGAUGGGUGAGGGAACAGAGCCUUCCAGUGAAGGGUUUCUCAGCACAUUAACUCUAUCACUGCUGGAUGCAUGUGUGUCCCAAUUCAGGUUGCCUGUGUCUGUUGAAGACCAUAAAUGCAGAUUUGCAGAAGUCUGCAGCAUUCUGUAACUUUGUGGCUGUGCUUCAGUGCCUGCUGCACCUAAAAACUGAACCAAAUCCCAUGGAUUUCCGUGUAGAUCUGGGAAAAACUGCAAUCAUGUGCUGCUCAGAGUAGAUCAGACUUGUAUUUCUUGUUGGCAGGAGAGGCACAGCCUGAUUUUGCUACAAUGCAACUGUCCUCAUUAAUGUUCUUCAAGCCCUGAUGGCCUGGGACUGCCAUCGUUGGGUCAGAAGAUGGCUGAGUUUUCCAGGCUCAUUCUCUUGUCUUCAGAAUGUUAAAUUGGGUGAUAAUGAGUAGUAACUGUGUCCCUUUUUAUGGUGAAGUUGACACUUGCCUUCUAGUAAACAGACACAGAGAUGACCCUCCUCAUUUCGCACAGGUCACCAAACAGCCCUGGGAUGGUAAGGGUUAUUGGCCAUUUACCAAACUCUGUUUGACUUGGGUUCAUGGGUGAGAGAUGAAAGGCUCUAUAUUGCAUUACCAAUCCCUGGGGCCAGCCGGUCUCCCUAAAGAGGCAUUUCAUUUAGCGAAGCAACUGCUGGCCCAUGGGAAUUGGAGAGCUGGGAAAAGGACACAGUUUCAAUUGCUGAUGUUUCCUUAGGGCAGAUGUCUUAAAGCCACACAGGAACUCGCUGCUUCCCUGUCACAAUAGUUGCUCCAGGACACUUAAUGACCAUCAGGCUUUUCCCAUUAAUUAAUCUCCUCUUUUUUUUUUUUUUUUUUUUUUUUCUCCCAACAAAACAUCCAUUAAGUUACUUGGGUUGUUUCUGCCCUGCUCUGUUUUCCUCCAUCUUCCUGGGGCAAGACCAAUGCACCAGUUAUGAACUGGUACCUUUUCCAAGAGCUUAAAAUUUGAGACGGGUGAAACAAGGAGCCCUAGUAUCACAGUAAGAGCUGUUGGCUGCUUGGAAAGAGAGGAGUUCUCCUGAACUACCCAAAUAUUUUCAUUAUUGUAGAGCAGAGAUGCUGACUGAUUUUCCUGGCUACAGUGGAGUGGUCCUUGGUAUUGGGGUAGUCCAAGUGCUGAGCUUUUACAGAUGAUGGAUGAAGUGCUUGAUGCUACAAUGGCUACAGGAAGGAGAAUACCUGUGAUCAAUGAUUCAGCCCAGACCUAUCCUGAAUUUCUUACGAUCUGAAAAUCCAGUAUUGUUCCAAAUUCUUUAUCACUGGUCAAAAUCCUCCUUCAGUUUCCUCCCUUGCUGUUUGUGAUGUGAAUCAUGAGACAUUCAGAAGUUGCAUUUGUUGUUUGAUAGUUUUACAUCAUGGUUGUAAUAGAGCAUCUGCCAAGUCAGCAGGUUUUUUUCUGUUUGUUUAUUUAUUUACUACUCUAUUUCCAGCAAGUUCUUGUUACCCAGUUCUCGCUGACAAUGAGGGAAGAGGCACAAGUCAGCUCAGAAAAUGAACGACUAGAAGACUUGAGUGGUCUCAGUGAUACUGCACCAUCCUGGUUCCUGCUUUCAGGCUGGGGUCACAAGUUGGACCUGGAAGAAGCAACUUUCAUGCAGAGAUGUAACUGCAAAGUGAAUACCAUGCCAGGCCCACAGGUGCUCCUCAGCUCUGCCUUGGGAGGACACCAUGAAGCAAUGAGGUGACAAACCGGUUUCCUUUCUCAAGCCAAAUGUCACGUAACUGCCCAGGGGCCCGUUUUGGUGGGGGUUGCACCCCCUGACUUUUCAAGGAGAGAUGUACUGCUGUGACCCAUCCCUGCCCUGUACACCUGGCUGAAGGAGAUAAAACUGCUCACUUCCACCUCUGACAUUUCUCAGCCAGGAAGAAAGGCAGGAGGCAUCAGGCUGUAGGGAGGUAUCAGAGCAGCCACCUGACACAGUGACAAAGAAGCCUCCAAAACCCAUCAAGUGGAGAUGAGUUCCCAGGGCUAGAGCAAGCUGAUAUAAAGGAUAAUGGUACCCUUACACCCACCCAAAAAGAUUUGCUACUCCCAAGCGGGGCAGCAGACAAAUACGUCCAACCCCAAAUGCUCUGCAGUUGAUAGAUCUGCUUUAGUGAGGAGAGCCCCAGUCGGUGAUGAAUAUUGUAGGAGAAUGCAUGCUGCAGCAUCAGUAAAGUCCAAAAAGCCCAAGGAACAGUGCAGGACAUCUGUUAACAAGAAAAUAGUAUGUGAAAAGCUGCUGUAAUUUCUGGCCCCAGCAGCCUAACUGGAGGCACAGACUUCCCAAGGCAGAGAGGACUUGGAGAACUCGGGAUGUUCAGUGAGAUCUCUCCUGGCUCCUGCAGAUUUACCAGGUCAGCUCAGUGCAGGCCAAAGUUGCUGGGAAAGGUCCUGGGCUCUCCUCCAAGUUCAUUGCUCUAUUGAUUGUGAAGAGGUAUUUAUUGUAGAUCAGGAUCUUGAGCCAAGGCAGCUGAAGCCGCACGGACUAAAUCGUCUAUUCCCCACCUACAGAUAAAACAAAUGGCCAGUUUUGGCCUAAUCAUCACUUCUGCCAGAGGAAAGAGAAACUCUUUGAGGUAAGUUCCCUUGGACAUAAUUCUUUCUUUCCAGGUUAAAGAAGGGCUGGAGCUAAUAUAUAUCCUGAGUCGUAAUGUGGAUUUGCACCUUUCCCGUUAAAUAUAGCUGGUUUGUGUCCAAAGCAUCGCUCCUAUCCCUAAUGCUCACUUACAUUGUUACAACUUCUACAUUAGUUGCAGGUGUGAAAUGCCAACUGAUCCACACUUCUUGUGCUGUCAGCAGGGGAGUAAUGUAUGUCAAAGGCCUGAUCCUCAGAGGGGAGGUCGCCUGGAUCUCCAUUUGCACAUCUGCUUUGCUAAACACAAAACUCUGGAGGUUUGAAAAGCUCCAGUAUUCACAAAAUGGGAUGUGUUCACUGGGGGCCAUACCUAAGAAACUGUUUGUGCUUGUCAUUUAGUAGGCAGGUCACAGAAUUUUCCCUCUGUACAAAAUACUUGCUGUUUUACAACAGGCAAUGUUUCACUAGUCCUCAUAUGUGGACAUUUGUAUGUUCUAUAUUAGUAAGAAAAAAGUUACACCUUGCCACGUUACAGGAUAUAAGAGAAGUCAGGACACCAACAGGUUAAAAUAGAACCACAUACAUUAAACAGCUUCAGGAAGAUGCUAAUAUUCAGCAUGUCCCUGCUUGGAGUGUGCAGGCAUGAAGAUCAGGAAACUGCCUGAUCAGAGAUCCUGGAGGGACAAUGUUGCUGGAGUUUGUCUUACAAGGCAUCCUGGUUUGGUUCUGAGGGUUUCAAGAGAAGCUUACAAAUAUUUCUAUUUCUUCCUGCUGUUAGGGGAUUUUUUUAUACCUUGGAAUAAGUCUUCCAAAGGUAAUGUGUUUACACUGGAUACCUAGAUAAUGGUUCUUACUUAGGGGACCUCUGAUACACAGUAGUACCUUCUACAUUUUAUGUAAGAUCAAAGACUAAUCCUGUAUAUAGACCUAAUUCUUUCUUGAUUUAUGCUAAUCUAGAAUGUCCUUCAAUAUCUGCAAUAAGGAUUCCCACAAAUAACCUAGACAGAAGAUCUUUUUGUCUUCACGUAUUUGGCCUUUAAAUGUCAUCUGUUUAUGACAUCAUGAUUCUGGGCACUUUGGACAUAUAGGAGAUUUUAAACAUAUGCAUGCAAGCAUCAUUCACCAUUAUGCACUAUGUUUUUCCUCCCUCAGCUGACUAUUUCUAAAUCUUUUGGAUAGUAGAACUAAAAUUGAUCUUACUGUCCAAAAUGAGAAAAUAGGAAAUUGGUCAUCAGCUUUAUGUUUUGUUACACAGAAUUUAGACUUAACAUCCCCAUAGUGACUUAUCUGGAAUUGAAAAUGAGCUCAAAGUAUACUGGGGAAAGCCAUGAGCUGAACACAGAGGUCAGAGCAUGUUCCAUGAACACCUGAAAUUCCAGCCUUGAGGAAUUCCUCGAAUAUGUCACUCAGAAUGGACAUCUCCUCAAGGAAGCUGUUAAAAAUAAUUUUCACAAGAAUCAGAAGAGGUUCACUUUUAAUACCAAGGAAGGGAAGCACUGGCUUUUUAAAGAAAAGUUUGAUUCUGGAAAAGUCUCAUUAUGUUGGUAAGUUAAAGGAGCUGUGUUGUAGCAGACAGAGUGGCUUGUUUGGCUCUUCAUGGAAGUGGCUGUUGAAUUCCCAGGCGGCCUUUCCUGCUGAAAUUCACACCAGAAAUUCAGGACAAAAAUUUCAUGUUUGAUCAGAACGACUUCAUUACCUUCCUGACUAACAGGAAUUGCAUAAAUUUCCCUGGGCUGUAGAUUACAAACAGAACAGACCCAUGAAAAGAAAGGGAGAAAGAAAUGCUGAUUUUCUUGGGAUGAAAUACUGAAAAAUUGGGCCUGAAAAACGUUUGGGUAUAAUAUGUUGGAAGUUUAAAGAAGCAUUUUUAAAGAAACAUUUUCCAAGAGCAUGCCAGUUAGUUUUAUCUUCAUUUUUUGCCACAUAUAAUUAUGAGAAACACAGACAACUCAUAAGAUUUUUAGUUUCUGUUGAGAAUCGUCUUUUCCAAGACAAUUCUGUACACUAUUACUUUAGCCCACUGGGUAUCAUGUAGGCAAGGUAUAAGAUUAUGCACAUGAAUAUUUCUGUCUACCACUUAUGCGUGCUGAGACAAUAUCAACUUAUACUUUCUCCUGUCAUUGGUCCUUAUUCCAUAGAGGAUAUUCUUAAUUACCAGCAAGACAAUUUGGUAAUAUCAUGUAAAGUGUAACAGCAUAAUUUCUGUGAUGAUUUACACCUGCUCAGGAUCUGAACAUGGAAUUUUAAAACAUAUUUUAAGUUCAGACGAUCAAGGAUAUUUUUGUCCAUAAGACACUAUUUCUAUGUUUAAUAGAAUGACUCUCAUUUAUUUAAUUUAUCGGCAUGUUUCUUCUAAGUGAAACGGAGCUUUUGUACAUGAAGACACCAUUUUUACACAUUUGCACUGCCCUGAAAAAUUUAGAGCACACUUCUGUACUGGAUUAAAUCAACUCUAGUCUAAAUGCCUAAACACUAUUUUUGACAACUGUGCAUGAGGGACAUAGCUGUACAGGGAUUCUAAAGAACAAAACCCCUAAAAAUAUCUCGGUUGCAAAGAAGAUGUAUUCCUUUUUCCACUUUGUAAUUAUGGUUAUAUAUAUUCUUUUAACCCUUGCGGGUUUAUUCCUGAGUCUGUUAGAAAUGACUGAAAUUAUUCCAUGAACUCCAACAGACUCUGCUUCCAACUGGAUAAAAAGAGAUAUUUGUGCAUCAGAUUUGCUGGUGAUGUCCCACUAAUGAAAUGGGGAAUUUUAUAAACAGGUCAGGGAGGGUAAGUGCCCAAUAAAAAGAUGUCAGAUGGAGAUCCACAAAUUACAGUCUAUUUGUAACAGAAAUAAAACAAGGAAUGCUUACUAAAGAGUCAUGAAUUUCUUUAUAAUUGCUUCCACAUUUGGGGCAACUUCUUCCUAAAUCAUCUACAGAAACCCUGCAAUUCAUGGGACUUCUGAUAGUGGUUAUGAUCACAACAAUACAUCUCAUUUAUGAUAAAAAUUACUCACUUUGGAAAGGAUUGUUUUUUCCUCAGGUUGCUUUUCUCAGUCUUUAUUUCAGUCUCCAUCUAUUUUCUUAUCCUCCUCCUCAUUUUCUAUUUCUAAUAUAAAAGCUGGAGUUCUUAUCAAUUUAGAAAAGAAAUAAAACUAAAGAAAAUUCAGGCAGAACUGUGAAGCAUGGUCUAUUUUAAAGUUACAGCUCAGAUAAUAAGACUCUGGUUUGUGCUGUACCUCGCUCAUGAACUCAGUUUUCCAUAGUGCAUUCAGCGUUAUAAUAAUGCAAAUCAAAUACAAUUUUAAUAACUCCUUCCAUUAAAAUGAUCUAUUAAUGUUUUAAGACUGCAACACUUAUGAGCAUGAUUCUAAUUGCAUGAUUUUGCUGCAGGCAAGUUUCAUAGAUCUGCCUGAUCUUUGGAUAUUUGCACUGUUUGGAUUAUUUUAAAUAAUUAAUUUUUGGAAGCGUUUCAGUCUCAGUAACGAGAGUUGGGUUUGAUAGUGGUUGUCUUGUCAGUAAUUGUAUGUAUCUGCUUCCAUUCAAAGGAAAACUAGACAAAUUUAGAACUCUUUGAAAGGAGAUGACUGAGGUUUAUACUGUGACAAACGUUAUGAAGAGCAUUCUGAAGAGGGGAAUAUUUAUAGACUAAGUUAAUACAAGGAGCAAAAGAGGUUUAAAGUGCAUAAAAUUUUUUGUCGUGCAGCACAAUUAAAUUGUAGGAUUUUCUGCCACAGAAUACCAAAAAUAUAAUCAGGCUAGAAUACCAUUAAACAUUCUUGGUUUAUGCAA
Long non-coding RNA from Myiozetetes cayanensis, 10664 nucleotides. RefSeq lists it as uncharacterized. NCBI's taxonomy places the organism in Eukaryota, Metazoa, Chordata, Aves, Passeriformes, Tyrannidae. The record is from RefSeq and is a predicted model, not a curated record. The transcript has 8 exons.